AAUUAAUUGUGCCUCCUAAAACACAAAAAUCAUCUGGGGGCGCUGAUCGAAGUUGCAACUUAGCUUGUUCUUGCGCGCGAUGUCGUGGUUUCAAACCCGAGCAGUUACAUCUGCGUCACCUUUUUUUAUUUGCUUAAAUGUAUUUUCAUCAUCUCAUCCGGCCCCACCCUUUUUUUCAUUUAAUUAAAAAAAAAAAAAAGUAGAAGCCCUAAUCUCAUAUGUCUUCUAUGCUACUUCAUCAGAACAUAACAAAAACCCCAUUUCCAAAAAUUUCAAAGUUUCAAACCAAUCUUCACGUACUUCAUCAGAGUUUCGUCGGCAUCUGCAAACUGGAAUUUCUUGUUGAUUCUUGUGAAUUGAAAUGGAUGUAUUUUUGAAGAAAUUUAAUUCUUCUCAACCAAGUUUAAGUUCCAGAGGUGAUUCAUCCUGUCUUAUAGAUGUGUUUGAUGUGGAGUCACUUAAAUAUGACCCCGGAGAAAGAAUAACUAUUGAUAAAUAUAGCCCUAGGAUACAAGAUGAUGUGAGAAGACACUAUAUUUAGAAAGCGCAUUGCCAGCCAGUUGGUCCUGCUCAUACAUUCCCUCAAACUUUAAUCGGGACAAAAAAUCGUUAAUUUGUUCCAGCGUGGUCCGAGGAUUCAUAUUCUAGGUGGACGGGGUAUAGUGUGAAGAAAGAUGCUGCAUUUUUCUUAUGUUUCUAUUUAUUCAAAAAUAACUGUGUAAAGGGAAGGGUAGGUGGUUCUUUCACGAAAGUCGAUUUUAGACUUGGAACAGAAGUUUGGAAAGAUUUACUUUACAUGUUGGUGAAGUAAAUAGCAUCAUAAUAGGUGUUUCAACAAGAUGCUAGAUUUGGAAAAAUCAAUCUCAAUCGAUUCGAGUUGCUUUUGACAAACAAUUUAAGGAAGACAAAAGUGAGCAACGAGUUCAUGUGUGGCAAGGUUCCUCUUGGAAUUCGGAUUGUCUUUUCGAGGUCAUGAUGAAUCUUCAAAAAGCAAAGGCUUUUUUCUAGGGCUUUUGGAAUGGUUUGCAAAAAUGCUUCUAGAUAUGGAUAGUGUCAUAUUAAAAAAUGCUUCAAACAAUGCCAUGUUGACUUCUUCAAAAAUUCAACAAGAGAUUGUGAUUGGUUGUGCACAAAAAACUGUGAAAGCUAUAAUUGAUGACUUGGAUGGAUAGUUGAUGAGUCCAAGGGCAUCUUGAACAAAUGGACCUUGCUUUGCGGUAUGUUAACAAAAAAAGACGAAGUGAAUGAGCCAGUCAUUGCUAUUGUUCGUGUUGGUGAUACAUCGGCACAAUCAUUGAAGGAACAAUAUGUUCUUUGCUUAUGAGUCACUCUUUAAGUACAUUCAAAAUACAUGGACAAGGUUAUGAUGGAGCUAGUAAUAUGAAGGGACACAUGAAUGAUCUUAAUGCUUUGAUUUUGUAGGAAACUCCAUCGGCAUAUUGCAUUCACUGUUUUGCUCACUAAUUACAAUUGGCUCUUGUAGCUGUUGCCAAAAAAUAUUUGCUUGUGAAAUAUUUCUUUGGUAUUAUUGAUAACGGGUUGAAUGUGGUUGGAGAAUCAUUUAAGCGUAGAGAUCAACUUCGGGACCAUCAAGCAGAAAUAUUGAGGCAACUUCUAGAGAGUGGUGAAGUUCAAAGUGGGAAGGGUUUAAAUCAAGAGCGAGGGCUUCAAAGACCAGGUGACACUUGUUGGGGAUCUCAUUUUAGAACAUUGGAUAACUUUGUUAUUUUUAUUUUCAUCUAUAGCUCAUGUGCUUGAUGCGAUUAAAUCUGGAGGUUCUAACAUUGGUGAGAGAUCGCAAGCAGGAGAUUUUUUUAGUAUGAUCAAUGAAUUUGAAUUUGUUUUCUUACUUCACUUGAUGUUGAAAAUAUUGGUGAUGUCGAAUGAGCUCAGCGCAUCUUUACAGAGGAAAGAUCAAGAUAUUGUCAAUGCCAUGAUACUUCUUGACAUUACUAAGGAAAGAUUGCACUCGAUGAGAGUCGAUAGAUGAAAACCUUUGACGAAUGGUGUUUCCUCAUUUUGUGAUAAACAUGUUAUUUCGGUACCUAAGAUGGACGAAUUUAUAUCCAUGGAAAGUCAAAGCGUAGACCUAGUAGUGUUACUUUACAUCACUUACAUGUUGAUCACUUUUAUGCUAUAAUUGACUUGUAACUUCAGGGGCUUAACAAUUGUUUUGAUGUUGUGAGUGGUAAAUUUCUCUUAGUAUGGCAAGCUUGAAUGCGGCUAAUGGUUUUGCUAAUUUUGAUAAGGAAAGAAUAAUAACAUUGGCCAAGCAUUAUCCAGAUGAGUUUGGUGGAUUGAAGCUUCGACAUCUCAGUUACAAACUUGAUACUUUCAUAAUCCUCAUAGGAUGUGGUGAUCCUAGAUUCUCUAAUUUGAAAGGAAUUGGUGAUUUGGCAGAAGCGUUAGUUAAUGCAAAUCUUGUGGAGACUUAUUCUCUUAUGUACAUACUUGUGAAGUGACAUUGAUUUUACCUAUCGCUACGACAACUGUAGAAAGAGGAUUCUCAUCAUGAAGCAUAUCAAGAAUGAACUGUGUAAUAGUAUUGGUGAUGAAUUGUUAAAUAAUUGUUUAGUUUGUUAAAUCAAGAAGGACAAAUUUGUAAUAUAAGCAACGAUACUAUCAUUGACCAUUUUCAAAAAAUGAAAGCGCGCGUCGAUAUCAAGUAUGAAUGGAUGAUCUACUUU
RNA transcript from Lycium barbarum (goji berry), 2687 nucleotides. RefSeq lists it as uncharacterized. The record is from RefSeq and is a predicted model, not a curated record. NCBI's taxonomy places the organism in Eukaryota, Viridiplantae, Streptophyta, Magnoliopsida, Solanales, Solanaceae. The transcript is spliced from 2 exons.